Gallus gallus (chicken) is the source of this 1008-nucleotide long non-coding RNA. The record is from Ensembl. Lineage: Eukaryota; Metazoa; Chordata; Aves; Galliformes; Phasianidae.
CCUGUGCCAGUGCUUCACCACGGUUACUACAGUAACUUCUUCCUUAUAGCCAGUUCAAAUCUCUCCUCUUUUAGUUUGCAACCAUUUCCCCUUGCCCUGUCACAACAGGCCCUACUUAAGAGUCUGUCCCCUUCUUCCUUACAGCCCCCUUCAUUUUCAUUCACAAGGCUCAGGAAAACCCGUGGAUGGCAUCAAAGCACAGAAGAUGCUCUUGUUCCCAGGUCUCCCCUGCACUGCUGUUAAUCAAUGCACCCAGAGGGAGGAUGCACUUCUCCCUUAAUGGGGGCAAGGAGCAGGAGGAAGGCAAUCAACCCUCAUCAGCCAGCCCCUCAAUCACUGCACUUCACACAGCUGGGGGUGGUGGUGUGGAGAAGAACAAAAUCAUCUCCAUGCUUUGCUGGGAAAAGUGCUGCUCCUUCUUCUUUGCCGGCAAAGAGAAGAGGUCUUCAAGAUUUGAGGUUCUCCUCGCCAUCAUUUCUGCAAAUGCUGAAGGCUGGAAGCUAGCUUGAAAAAAUAAAACCACAGCGUGAUCUGAAAUUCUCAUGCAAUCACAUGGCUCGCAGAGUCAGAAACCCAAAAACGCCUCCAAGUAUUAAGAUACUCCAAACAAACAACAAAGAGGUUGAGUUAACACACUCCAAAAAGCCCAAACAUUCUGCUGUUGUUAUCUGGUUCUGUCAUCGAGGUGAUAUUUCAGCCGCCUGAGACAGAUGAGAUUUCGAAGGGGGAUUUCUGAUUUGUGUUUGUUUUUAAUUUGAGGUUUGGAUCACAGCAACAGCGGCAAUUUGUUUUGUUGCGUAUUUAUGGCUGCACAUGUUUAAAAUGGUAAAUCUGCACUGACCCAUUCGACCACAAAAGCGAAACCAGCUUCUGUAUUCCCAUUCCUGAGCUGGAGAAGUAAACCCGCAGCAUGCAUGUCUAAACUGAUGACUGAAGUGCAAUUAUUUCCUUGGUGAGAGAAAAAAAAAAGCACUAACAGCUACGUAUCAUGAAAAACACUUCCCUGUG